GGCCCGUUGCUCAAUGGUAGAGCGUUCGACUCAAUAACCAAUGGACGCGGGUUCGAAUCUCUCGUGUGCCA
RNAcentral lists this transfer RNA (71 nucleotides) under Schistocephalus solidus. It matches the Rfam family "tRNA". From Rfam's summary of the family: Transfer RNA (tRNA) molecules are approximately 80 nucleotides in length. Their secondary structure includes four short double-helical elements and three loops (D, anti-codon, and T loops). Lineage: Eukaryota; Metazoa; Platyhelminthes; Cestoda; Diphyllobothriidea; Diphyllobothriidae. The record is from Rfam by way of RNAcentral.